RNAcentral lists this ribosomal RNA (274 nucleotides) under uncultured bacterium. RNAcentral's name for it is "partial 16S ribosomal RNA". It matches the Rfam family "Bacterial small subunit ribosomal RNA", at positions 523 to 796 of the family's 1533-position model. The record is from RNAcentral.
CUACGGAGGGUGCAAGCGUUGUUCGGAAUUACUGGGCGUAAAGCGCGCGUAGGCGGUCUGUUAUGUCAGAUGUGAAAGUCCUCGGCUCAACCGGGGAAGUGCAUUUGAAACUGGCAGACUUGAGUACUGGAGGGGGUGGUGGAAUUCCCGGUGUAGAGGUGAAAUUCGUAGAUAUCGGGAGGAAUACCGGUGGCGAAGGCGACCACCUGGCCAGAUACUGACGCUGAGGUGCGAAAGCGUGGGGAGCAAACAGGAUUAGAAACCCUAGUAGUCC